This 81-nucleotide transfer RNA is filed under the name Cyanophora paradoxa. RNAcentral describes it as "tRNA-Tyr". It matches the Rfam family "tRNA". Rfam says of the family: Transfer RNA (tRNA) molecules are approximately 80 nucleotides in length. Their secondary structure includes four short double-helical elements and three loops (D, anti-codon, and T loops). Further hydrogen bonds mediate the characteristic L-shaped molecular structure. tRNAs have two regions of fundamental functional importance: the anti-codon, which is responsible for specific mRNA codon recognition, and the 3' end, to which the tRNAs corresponding amino acid is attached (by aminoacyl-tRNA synthetases). tRNAs cope with the degeneracy of the genetic code in two manners: having more than one tRNA (with a specific anti-codon) for a particular amino acid; and 'wobble' base-pairing, i.e. permitting non-standard base-pairing at the 3rd anti-codon position. The record is from RNAcentral. Lineage: Eukaryota; Glaucocystophyceae; Cyanophorales; Cyanophoraceae.
GGAGGAAUGGCUGAGUGGUUAAAGGCGGCGGACUGUAAAUCCGUUGAGAAAUCUACAUAGGUUCGAAUCCUGUUUCCUCCA